Molecule: long non-coding RNA, 249 nt
Organism: Bombus huntii
Lineage: Eukaryota; Metazoa; Arthropoda; Insecta; Hymenoptera; Apidae
Exons: 2
Source: RefSeq, a predicted model, not a curated record
CACAUAUCUAAUGUAUUAAGCGAUUAUUUCUACACAGGAGAAUAGUUACCAUAUUCAGGAUCGAAAAAAACUCUGUUUCUAUUCGCCUAGUUCCCGAUUCAUGAAUAUUCCAAUUGCGACUGCCAUCUAGCAACAAACCGCAGAAUCUACUUUAUCGCUACAAAUGAUCGCCGAUAACACAAAUACCAACGCUUUCUACAUGACUAAUAAAAAAUAUACAUUUUAAAAUAAAUAAAUACAUAAAAUCGA